GGCCGACUAGCUCAGCUGGUUAGAGCGUCGUGCUAAUAACGCGAAGGUCAUGGGUUCGAUCCACACGUUGGCCA
RNAcentral lists this transfer RNA (74 nucleotides) under Sphagnurus paluster. Its description in RNAcentral is "Tephrocybe palustris tRNA". It matches the Rfam family "tRNA". From Rfam's summary of the family: Transfer RNA (tRNA) molecules are approximately 80 nucleotides in length. Their secondary structure includes four short double-helical elements and three loops (D, anti-codon, and T loops). The record is from Rfam by way of RNAcentral. Lineage: Eukaryota; Fungi; Basidiomycota; Agaricomycetes; Agaricales; Lyophyllaceae.